AGGGCGCACGGUGAAUGCCUGGGCACUGGAAGCCGAUGAAGGACGUGACGAACCACGAAAGUCUUCGGGUAGCCGUAAGUAGGCUGUGAUCCGGAGGUAUCCGAAUGGGGGAACCCGGCAUGGCGACAUGUCAUCUUUAAGUGAAUACAUAGCUUAAAGAAGGAACACGCAGUGAACUGAAACAUCUAAGUAGCUGCAGGAAGAGAAAGAAAUUCGAUUUCCCAAGUAGCGGCGAGCGAACAGGAAAGAGCCCAAACCGCUAGAUUUAUCUAGCGGGGUUGUAGGACUGAGACGUGGCAUUUUGGCGGAUAGCAGAAGCAUCUGGGAAGAUGCGCCAGAGAGGGUGACAGCCCCGUAAGCGAAAUCCAAAGAAAGCCUAUCAGGAUCCUGAGUAGGGCGGGACACGAGAAAUCCCGUCUGAAUCCGCGAGGACCAUCUCGCAAGGCUAAAUACUAACCAGUGACCGAUAGUGAACCAGUACCGUGAGGGAAAGGUGAAAAGAACCCCGGGAGGGGAGUGAAAGAGAACCUGAAACCGUGUGCCUACAAGUAGUCAGAGCCCGUUAAAGGGUGAUGGCGUGCCUUUUGUAGAAUGAACCGGCGAGUUGCGUUAGCCAGCGAGGUUAAGUCAGAAAAGACGGAGCCGCAGCGAAAGCGAGUCUGAAUAGGGCGAGCAGUUGGCUGAUGCAGACCCGAAACCAAGUGACCUACCCAUGACCAGGUUGAAGGCGCGGUAAAACGCGCUGGAGGACCGAACCCACGUAAGUUGAAAAUUGCGGGGAUGAGUUGUGGGUAGCGGUGAAAUUCCAAACGAACUUGGAGAUAGCUGGUUCUCUCCGAAAUAGCUUUAGGGCUAGCCUCGCAAAGAGGAUGCUGGAGGUAGAGCUCUGUUUGGACUAGGGGCCCGUCAGGGGUUACUGAAUCCAGAUAAACUGCGAAUUCCAGACAUUUAUAUGCGGGAGUCAGACUGCGAGUGAUAAGAUCCGUAGUCGAAAGGGAAACAGCCCAGAUCACCAGUAAGGUCCCUAAAUACAUGCUAAGUGGAAAAGGAUGUGGAGUUGCGCAGACAACUAGGACGUUGGCUCAGAAGCAGCCAUCAUUCAAAGAGUGCGUAAUAGCUCACUAGUCGAGUGACGCCGCGCCGAAAAUUUACCGGGGCUAAGCAUGAUACCGAAACUGUGGAUGCAUACAAAAGUAUGCGUGGUAGGAGAGCGUUCCAGCGGCGAAGAAGCAUGACUGAGAAGACAUGUGGAGCUUCUGGAAGUGAGAAUGCCGGUAUGAGUAACGAAAGACAGGUGAGAAUCCUGUCCGCCGCAAGACUAAGGUUUCCUGGGGCAGGCUCGUCCGCCCAGGGUAAGUCGGGACCUAAGGCGAGGCCGAGAGGCGUAGUCGAUGGACAACAGGUAGACAUUCCUGUACUGCACCCAAUCGUUAUGAGCGAAGGAGGGACGCAGGAGGCUAGCAGCGCAUGGUGCUGGAAACCAUGUUCAAGCGCUGAGUCUGGAAAUGAGUCAAAUGCUUAUUUCCUUAAGGACAAGGCGUGAUGAGGAGCGAAAUUAAAGUAGCGAAGGCUGCGACGUCACACUGCCAAGAAAAGCUUCUAGCCAGAGAAGGUGCACCCGUACCGCAAACCGACACAGGUAGUCGAGGAGAGUAUCCUCAGGUGAGCGAGAGAACUCUCGUUAAGGAACUCGGCAAAAUGGCCCCGUAACUUCGGGAGAAGGGGCGCUGGUCGCAAGAUCAGCCGCAGUGAAAAGGCCCAAGCAACUGUUUAUCAAAAACACAGGCAUCUGCAAAAUCGUAAGAUGAAGUAUAGGUGCUGACACCUGCCCGGUGCUGGAAGGUUAAGAGGAGAGCUUAGCGCAAGCGAAGGUUUGAAUUGAAGCCCCAGUAAACGGCGGCCGUAACUAUAACGGUCCUAAGGUAGCGAAAUUCCUUGUCGGGUAAGUUCCGACCUGCACGAAAGGUGUAAUGAUUUGGGCACUGUCUCAACGAGAGACUCGGUGAAAUUAUAAUACCCGUGAAGAUGCGGGUUACCCGCGACAGGACGGAAAGACCCCAUGGAGCUUUACUGCAGUUUAAUAUUGGGUAUCUGUCAAGCAUGUACAGGAUAGGUAGGAGCCGGAGAAGAUAGGACGCCAGUCUUAUCGGAGGCGCUGUUGGGAUACUACCCUUGCUUGACGGAUGCUCUAACUCAGGCGUGUAAACCAGGCCGAGGACAGUGUUUGACGGGCAGUUUGACUGGGGCGGUCGCCUCCUAAAGUGUAACGGAGGCGCUCAAAGGUUCCCUCAGAAUGGUUGGAAAUCAUUCGCAGAGUGUAAAGGUAAAAGGGAGCUUGACUGCGAGAGAGACAACUCGAGCAGGUACGAAAGUAGGACUUAGUGAUCUGGUGGCGCCGCAUGGAAGGGCCAUCACUCAACGGAUAAAAGCUACCCUGGGGAUAACAGGCUUAUCUCCCCCAAGAGUUCACAUCGACGGGGAGGUUUGGCACCUCGAUGUCGGCUCGUCGCAUCCUGGGGCUGAAGUCGGUCCCAAGGGUUGGGCUGUUCGCCCAUUAAAGCGGCACGCGAGCUGGGUUCAGAACGUCGUGAGACAGUUCGGUCCCUAUCCGUCGUGGGCGCAGGAAAUUUGAGAGGAGCUGUCCUUAGUACGAGAGGACCGGGAUGGACGCACCGCUGGUGUACCAGUUGUCUUGCCAAAGGCAUCGCUGGGUAGCUAUGUGCGGAAGGGAUAAGCGCUGAAAGCAUCUAAGUGCGAAGCCCCCCUCAAGAUGAGAUUUCCCAUUUCU
This 2788-nucleotide ribosomal RNA is filed under the name Lactobacillus equicursoris DSM 19284 = JCM 14600 = CIP 110162. Its description in RNAcentral is "bacterial LSU rRNA". It matches the Rfam family "Bacterial large subunit ribosomal RNA". The record is from RNAcentral. Lineage: Bacteria; Bacillati; Bacillota; Bacilli; Lactobacillales; Lactobacillaceae.